This 441-nucleotide ribosomal RNA is filed under the name uncultured bacterium. RNAcentral's name for it is "partial 16S ribosomal RNA". It matches the Rfam family "Bacterial small subunit ribosomal RNA", at positions 338 to 795 of the family's 1533-position model. The record is from RNAcentral.
CCUACGGGGGGCAGCAGUGGGGGAUAUUGCACAAUGGGGGAAACCCUGAUUCAGCGACGCCGCGUGAGUGAAGAAGUAUUUCGGUAUGUAAAGCUCUAUCAGCAGGGAAGAAAAAAGACGGUACCUGACUAAGAAGCCCCGGCUAACUACGUGCCAGCAGCCGCGGUAAUACGUAGGGGGCAAGCGUUAUCCGGAUUUACUGGGUGUAAAGGGAGCGUAGACGGCAAUACAAGUCGGAAGUGAAAUACCCGGGCUCAACCUGGGAACUGCUUUGGAAACUGUAUGGCUAGAGUGCUGGAGAGGUAAGCGGAAUGCCUAGUGUAGCGGUGAAAUGCGUAGAUAUUAGGAGGAACACCAGUGGCGAAGGCGGCUUACUGGACAGUAACUGACGUUGAGGCUCGAAAGCGUGGGGAGCAAACAGGAUUAGAUACCCUAGUAGUC